AGGGGUCAAACCACAAAGUGUGUCCUGGGGGAGAGUGCUGCCCGCCAGAGGUGUUGGUGUCGGGGUAAAGCCCGGAGUGGCAGGGGCACUGGGAGCACUGGGGAGCCGAUAUGGCAACAAAGGGAUGAAGACUGGACUUGGACGUUAUGGAGCCCAGCUUGGUAAUGGAGGUUACAGAGCUCUCGGACUGGGAGGUAGAACAGGGGGAUACGGGACCCCGGGAGGCUACGGUACCUCCUUAAAGUCACUCUUUACAUUAACUCCUCACCUUCUGCCGUCUUUAAACACCUUCUGCAUCUGCUGCUCUGCAGGCGGCGGCAUGGGUGCAGGACUGGGCGCCGGGGGCGGCCUCCCCAACGGACUGACCCUCGGGUUGGGUCAGGGGGGAAAACGUGGUGAGACACACGACAAGCGUAACAGCUCUGGAAGUCAGGCUUUAAAAUGAAUCGCACAACGAUGGAGCUUUAUUAAACUGGAGUUGAUGCAGAUAGAAG
RNAcentral lists this long non-coding RNA (494 nucleotides) under Takifugu rubripes (torafugu). RNAcentral's name for it is "lncRNA (ENSTRUG00000028136.1)". Lineage: Eukaryota; Metazoa; Chordata; Actinopteri; Tetraodontiformes; Tetraodontidae. The record is from RNAcentral.